GGGAAGGUGGCUCAGUGGUAGAGUGCUUGCCUUGCAUGCAUGAGGCCCGGGGUUCGAUUCCUCAGCCCCA
This 70-nucleotide transfer RNA is filed under the name Dipodomys ordii (Ord's kangaroo rat). It matches the Rfam family "tRNA". From Rfam's summary of the family: Transfer RNA (tRNA) molecules are approximately 80 nucleotides in length. Their secondary structure includes four short double-helical elements and three loops (D, anti-codon, and T loops). The record is from Rfam by way of RNAcentral. Lineage: Eukaryota; Metazoa; Chordata; Mammalia; Rodentia; Heteromyidae.